RNAcentral lists this transfer RNA (68 nucleotides) under Ostrea denselamellosa. RNAcentral describes it as "tRNA-Val". The record is from RNAcentral. Lineage: Eukaryota; Metazoa; Mollusca; Bivalvia; Ostreida; Ostreidae.
UGGGGAAUAGUAUAAUAGAUUACUUGGCGCUUACAACGUCAGAAUAGAGGGUAAAACUCUUUCUCCUA